UGUGAACGUUACCAAACUGUUGCCUCGGCGGGGUCACGCCCCGGGUGCGUAAAAGCCCCGGAACCAGGCGCCCGCCGGAGGAACCAACCAAACUCUUUCUGUAGUCCCCUCGCGGACGUAUUUCUUACAGCUCUGAGCAAAAAUUCAAAAUGAAUCAAAACUUUCAACAACGGAUCUCUUGGUUCUGGCAUCGAUGAAGAACGCAGCGAAAUGCGAUAAGUAAUGUGAAUUGCAGAAUUCAGUGAAUCAUCGAAUCUUUGAACGCACAUUGCGCCCGCCAGUAUUCUGGCGGGCAUGCCUGUCCGAGCGUCAUUUCAACCCUCGAACCCCUCCGGGGGAUCGGCGUUGGGGAUCGGGACCCCUCACCGGGUGCCGGCCCUGAAAUACAGUGGCGGUCUCGCCGCAGCCUCUCCUGCGCAGUAGUUUGCACAACUCGCACCGGGAGCGCGGCGCGUCCACGUCCGUAAAACACCCAACUUCUGAAAUGUUGACCUCGGAUCAGGUAGGAAUACCCGCUGAACUUAAGCAUAUCAAUAAGCGGAGGGCA
Molecule: ribosomal RNA, 547 nt
Filed under: Trichoderma hamatum
Lineage: Eukaryota; Fungi; Ascomycota; Sordariomycetes; Hypocreales; Hypocreaceae
Description: eukaryotic LSU rRNA
Rfam family: 5.8S ribosomal RNA (bases 159-312)
Source: RNAcentral